This 500-nucleotide ribosomal RNA is filed under the name uncultured bacterium. Its description in RNAcentral is "partial 16S ribosomal RNA". It matches the Rfam family "Bacterial small subunit ribosomal RNA", at positions 29 to 523 of the family's 1533-position model. The record is from RNAcentral.
AGUGAACGCUGGCGGCAUGCUUUACACAUGCAAGUCGAACGGCAGCACGGACUUCGGUCUGGUGGCGAGUGGCGAACGGGUGAGUAAUACAUCGGAACGUGCCCAGUUGUGGGGGAUAACUACUCGAAAGAGUAGCUAAUACCGCAUGAGAACUGAGGUUGAAAGCAGGGGAUCGUAAGACCUUGCGCAACUGGAGCGGCCGAUGGCAGAUUAGGUAGUUGGUGGGAUAAAAGCUUACCAAGCCGACGAUCUGUAGCUGGUCUGGGAGGACGACAAGCCACACUGGGACUGAGACACGACCCGGACUCCUACGGGAGGCAGCAGUGGGGAAUUUUGGACAAUGGGCGAAAGCCUGAUCCAGCAAUGCCGCGUGCAGGAUGAAGGCCUUCGGGUUGUAAACUGCUUUUGUACGGAACGAAAAGCUUCGGGUUAAUACCCUGGAGUCAUGACGGUACCGUAAGAAUAAGCACCGGCUAACUACGUGCCAGCCGCCGCCGUAA